ACGUAGGAUGCAAGCGUUGUCCGGAUUUAUUGGGCGUAAAGAGUUCGUAGGCGGUUUAUUAAGUUUGGUGUUAAAUACUGAGGCUCAACCUCGGAACUGCAUUGAAUACUGGUAGACUCGAGUACAGUAGAGGUUAGUGGAAUUCCCAGUGUAGCGGUGAAAUGCGUAGAUAUUGGGAAGAACACCGGUGGCGUAAGCGACUAACUGGGCUGUAACUGACGCUGAGGAACGAAAGCCAGGGGAGCAAAUGGGAUUAGAUACCCCAGUAGUCCUGGCCGUAAACGAUGGAUACUAGGCGUAGCGGGUAUCAACCCCUGCUGUGCCGUAGCUAACGCGAUAAGUAUCCCGCCUGAGUAGUACGGCCGCAAGGUUG
Molecule: ribosomal RNA, 373 nt
Filed under: uncultured bacterium
Lineage: Bacteria
Description: bacterial SSU rRNA
Rfam family: Bacterial small subunit ribosomal RNA
Source: RNAcentral